GCAGAGGAGAGACAGAAAGAGAGAGAGAGAGAUGGGGGGGGGGUUGCCGGAUUGCAGUGAUUAUUCCCACUGUAUGGCCAGCUUUAUUAUUUUUUUUUUCCUGCAGCAAUAAACCCCCUUUCUCUAGCACUGCGGGACGUUGGUGAAAAUCCAGCAAUAUGUGGAAAGUAGCACGAUCAGCUUUUCUGGAUGACGAAAUGUCUCAAACCACAGGUACAGUUCGAAAAGAAGAUGAUGCCGGCAGCAAUGGGUUCACUGGAGCUCUAUCACCCAGAUGCGACUCCACUUUGCCAAACAGGCACAUAAGUCGAAAUCGGGACUUUUGCAAACACAUCGUUUCUGAGUUCUCUUCAAUUACGUGGUUUUGCUUAAGAUGGACACUAAAGGAAGUCAGAUUUUCCUGCCCAUGUAAAAGCAAAGUCCUGCUGUAGAAAAUUUCACAGUACGAUGUUCCUUCUGAUAUUCAAGAGGAAGCAACCAAAAUUACUUCCCCCUGCUUUGGGGAACUGUGGUGUCAGAUCAAAGAUCUGCUUGUGAAUCAAACUUAAGGAUUUGCAUCUUGGUAAGUACAUAAUUGUUUUGGACCAAUGGCAUCUGUUGGUUCAUUGCACUGGAUUCAGACCUCCAAUACCAUUUUUCGGAACAAUUAAGGUGGAACCUGAUUAUAUUCCUGUACACACAGAAAAUGUACUUUCCAAAAGAUGUCAAGUGCCACGAUCUGGCACUGAAAAAGACACCUCUGCAUCUCCACUGUAUUGNAGAGAGGCACCAUUUUCAGUGGCCAAUUGCACCACCAUAAUUCAGGACACAAAAUUAUACCCUGCAAAUAUGGNGGCUCUUCUAAUGAUGGCUUUCAAAAAUGGGGCAGUAUAAUUGCCACAUGACACCUGCUGCCACUGCAAAUGUAGACGCAGUGGUAGCAGGUGCCUGCACAAGUGGUGGCAGGCCCCUCUGCUUGUAAAUGGAGAUGCGGCCUCAGUGUUUUUCUUCUAAUCUCACAUACAUGUAAAACUUAACAUGGAAAAGAACUUUGGACAUGGAGGCAGGGCUAAAGAAGGACAUAAGUGACUAUUCAUUUGCAUAUGCAUGGGAUUAGUUAUGGGUGUAGUCACAACUUGGUGGCAGAGCAGGUCCCAGGUUCAAUCCCU
This 1148-nucleotide long non-coding RNA is filed under the name Salvator merianae (Argentine black and white tegu). Its description in RNAcentral is "lncRNA (ENSSMRG00000014751.1)". The record is from RNAcentral. Lineage: Eukaryota; Metazoa; Chordata; Lepidosauria; Squamata; Teiidae.